This 30-nucleotide non-coding RNA is filed under the name Rattus norvegicus (Norway rat). Lineage: Eukaryota; Metazoa; Chordata; Mammalia; Rodentia; Muridae. The record is from RNAcentral.
UGGACUUUGAUUUUGUUUUAAAGGGUCCGA